AGCGAACGCUGGCGGCAGGCUUAACACAUGCAAGUCGAGCGGGCGUAGCAAUACGUCAGCGGCAGACGGGUGAGUAACGCGUGGGAACAUACCUUUUGGUUCGGAACAACACAGGGAAACUUGUGCUAAUACCGGAUAAGCCCUUACGGGGAAAGAUUUAUCGCCGAAAGAUUGGCCCGCGUCUGAUUAGGUAGUUGGUGAGGUAACGGCUCACCAAGCCGACGAUCAGUAGCGGUCUGAGAGGAUGAUCAGCCACACUGGGACUGAGACACGGCCCAGACUCCUACGGGAGGCAGCAGUGGGGAAUAUUGGACAAUGGGCGAAAGCCUGAUCCAGCCAUGCCGCGUGAGUGAUGAAGGCCUUAGGGUUGUAAAGCUCUUUUACCCGGGAUGAUAAUGACAGUACCGGGAGAAUAAGCUCCGGCUAACUCCGUGCCAGCAGCCGCGGUAAU
Molecule: ribosomal RNA, 451 nt
Filed under: uncultured bacterium
Lineage: Bacteria
Description: bacterial SSU rRNA
Rfam family: Bacterial small subunit ribosomal RNA
Source: RNAcentral